RNAcentral lists this ribosomal RNA (324 nucleotides) under uncultured eukaryote. Its description in RNAcentral is "partial 18S ribosomal RNA". It matches the Rfam family "Eukaryotic small subunit ribosomal RNA", at positions 1470 to 1796 of the family's 1831-position model. The record is from RNAcentral.
CCCUUAGAUGUUCUGGGCUGCACGCGCGCUACACUGAAGCUAUCAACACGUUUUCCCUCCCUGAGAAGGGCGGGUAACCUUUUGAAUCAGCUUCGUGGUAGGGAUCGGGGCUAGCAAUUGUUCCCCGUGAACCAGGAAUUCCUAGUAGACGCGAGUCAUAAGCUCGCAUCGAUUAAGUCCCUGCCCUUUGUACACACCGCCCGUCGCUACUACCGAUUGAACGUUUUAGUGAGGCAUUUGGACCGACGCAUCUCAGUUUAACCGCUGGUUUGUGUUGGAAAGACUUCCAAACUUGAGCGUUUAGAGGAAGUAAAAGUCGUAACA